UGGAAGUAAAAAGUCGUAACAAGGUUUCCGUAGGUGAACCUGCGGAAGGAUCAUUAACCUUUCAAAACAGGGUGCGUCGCGGCCCCCGAGGUGCGGAAACAAGCCUCGAGCGGUUUGGGGUCCUCCCCUUCACGCGCGCACGACUGCCAUCCUUACUUUACGAGCACCUUCUGUUCUCCCUCGGCGGGGCAACCUGCCGUUGGAACCGAAUAAACUCUUUUUGCAUCUAGCAUUACCUGUUCCGAAACAAACAAUCGUUACAACUUUCAACAAUGGAUCUCUUGGCUCUGGCAUCGAUGAAGAACGCAGCGAAAUGCGAUAAGUAGUGUGAAUUGCAGAAUUCAGUGAAUCAUCGAAUCUUUGAACGCACAUUGCGCCCCUCGGUAUUCCGUGGGGCAUGCCUGUUCGAGCGUCAUCUACACCCUCAAGCUCUGCUUGGUGUUGGGCGUCUGUCCCGCCUCCGCGCGUGGACUCGCCCCAAAUUCAUUGGCAGCGGUCCUUGCCUCCUCUCGCGCAGCACAUUGCGCUUCUUGAGGGGCUCCGGUUCGCGUCCAACAAGCACAUUUACCGUCUUGACCUCGGAUCAGGUAGGUA
RNAcentral lists this ribosomal RNA (594 nucleotides) under fungal endophyte OTm-4. RNAcentral's name for it is "eukaryotic LSU rRNA". The stretch from base 262 to 415 matches the Rfam family "5.8S ribosomal RNA". Lineage: Eukaryota; Fungi; Ascomycota. The record is from RNAcentral.